Molecule: ribosomal RNA, 239 nt
Filed under: uncultured Lactobacillus sp.
Lineage: Bacteria; Bacillati; Bacillota; Bacilli; Lactobacillales; Lactobacillaceae
Description: partial 16S ribosomal RNA
Rfam family: Bacterial small subunit ribosomal RNA
Source: RNAcentral
CCGUAGCCCAAGAGAUCGGGAUAACACCUGGAAACAGAUGCUAAUACCGGAUAACAACAGAUGAUGCCUAUCAACUGUUUAAAAGAUGGUUCUGCUAUCACUCUUGGAUGGACCUGCGGUGCAUUAGCUAGUUGGUAGGGUAACGGCCUACCAAGGCGAUGAUGCANAGCCGAGUUGAGAGACUGAUCGGCCACAUUGGGACUGAGACACGGCCCAAACUCCUACGGGAGGCAGCAGUC